UGGGGAAUAUUGCACAAUGGGCGCAAGCCUGAUGCAGCGACGCCGCGUGAGGGAUGACGGCCUUCGGGUUGUAAACCUCUUUCAGCAGGGGAGAAGCGAAAGUGACGGUACCUGCAGAAGAAGCGCCGGCUAACUACGUGCCAGCAGCCGCGGUAAUACGUAGGGCGCGAGCGUUGUCCGGAAUUAUUGGGCGUAAAGAGCUUGUAGGCGGUUUGUCGCGUCUGCUGUGAAAGCCCGGGGCUUAACUCCGGGUUUGCAGUGGGUACGGGCUAACUAGAGUGCAGUAGGGGAGACUGGAAUUCCUGGUGUAGCGGUGGAAUGCGCAGAUAUCAGGAGGAACACCGAUGGCGAAGGCAGGUCUCUGGGCUGUAACUGACGCUGAGAAGCGAAAGCAUGGGGAGCGAACAGG
RNAcentral lists this ribosomal RNA (409 nucleotides) under Bacillota bacterium. RNAcentral describes it as "Firmicutes bacterium partial 16S ribosomal RNA". It matches the Rfam family "Bacterial small subunit ribosomal RNA", at positions 355 to 776 of the family's 1533-position model. The record is from RNAcentral. Lineage: Bacteria; Bacillati; Bacillota.